AAUGCUGAAACUAUCAGGACUUUGGUAAGUCUUAGAAAUGGACUAAAUGCUUUUUGCAUAAAGGGUUGUGCGUGAGUCUUUGGGGGCUAGAGGUGGAAUGUUAUGGUUUGGGUCUGGCUGUCCCCUGAAAGCCUCCUCUGGUCAGAGGUGGCUGAAUCUGGAAUGUGUGAUGCUGGGAUUAAGGGCGUGUGGUUACUAAACCACUGCACGUGAGUGAGUGGGUGGGUGGGCACUGCCCUAAUCCUGGCAGUCCGGAUGGAAUAAAAGAGGCAGAAGAUGAGGUAAAGCUUUCUCUUAUUGCCUUUGCCACCUUGUGUGCGCUAUGUUGUUUCUCCUCUGCGAUGCCUGUUUGCCCUCCCUGCCUUGGAGCCAGCCAACUACGGACUGAAACCUCUACAGACUGUAAGCCAAAUAAAUCUCUUCCUCUUUAAUUUAAGGUGUCGGGUAUUUUGUCUCAACAAUGACCGAAAAGUAACACAGCUUCAGAACAAUAAACAAAAGGUCCAAGCCCCAAUACCACCUCACUAUAGACCAAGCAAUACAGAAGAAACAUUCAAGUUAUGAACCAAAAUGUAGAAAACAAAAGAAAACUUCACAUCUGAAGAGUAUUCCUAUACUUUGGCAUACGGAUACAAACAGCUACCUCAACAGUGUGGAGAAGAUAGUCUGUUCCAUGAGUGAUACUAGAGCAACCGGAC
Molecule: long non-coding RNA, 698 nt
Filed under: Fukomys damarensis (Damara mole-rat)
Lineage: Eukaryota; Metazoa; Chordata; Mammalia; Rodentia; Bathyergidae
Description: lncRNA (ENSFDAG00000032239.1)
Source: RNAcentral